Molecule: ribosomal RNA, 793 nt
Filed under: uncultured archaeon
Lineage: Archaea
Description: bacterial SSU rRNA
Rfam family: Archaeal small subunit ribosomal RNA
Source: RNAcentral
ACUGCUCAGUAACACGUGGACAACCUGCCCUUAGGUUGGGUAUAAACCCGGGAAACUGGGUAUAAUACCCGAUAGGUCUCGAUUGCUGGAGUGCAUCGAGAUUUAAAGCUCCGGCGCCUAAGGAUGGGUCUGCGGCCUAUCAGGUAGUAGUGGGUGUAGCGUACCUACUAGCCUACGACGGGUACGGGUUGUGAGAGCAAGAGCCCGGAGAUGGAUUCUGAGACACGAAUCCAGGCCCUACGGGGUGCAGCAGGCGCGAAAACUUUACAAUGCUGGCAACAGCGAUAAGGGAACCUCGAGUGCCAGGUUACAAAUCUGGCUGUCGAGAUGCCUAAAAAGCAUUUCAUAGCAAGGGCCGGGCAGGACCGGUGCCAGCCGCCGCGGUAACACCGGCGGCUCGAGUGGUAACCGUUAUUAUUGGGUCUAAAGGGUCUGUAGCCGGCCGGAUAAGUCUCUUGAGAAAUCUGGCAGCUUAACUGUCAGGCUUUCAGGAGAGACUGUCUGGCUCGAGGCCGGGAGAGGUGAGAGGUACUUCAGGGGUAGGGGUGAAAUCCUGUAAUCCCGGUGGGACCACCUAUGGCGAAGGCAUCUCACCAGAACGGGUCCGACAGUGAGGGACGAAAGCUGGGGGAGCAAACCGGAUUAGAUACCCGGGUAGUCCCAGCUGUAAACUAUGUGCGUUAGGUGUGUCAGUGACCACGUGUCACUGAGGUGCCGAAGGGAAACCGUGAAACGCACCGCCUGGGGAAUACGGUCGCAAGGCUGAAACUUAAAGGAAUUGGCGGGGGAGCAC